This 252-nucleotide ribosomal RNA is filed under the name uncultured bacterium. Its description in RNAcentral is "partial 16S ribosomal RNA". It matches the Rfam family "Bacterial small subunit ribosomal RNA", at positions 524 to 776 of the family's 1533-position model. The record is from RNAcentral.
UACGUAGGUCCCGAGCGUUGUCCGGAUUUAUUGGGCGUAAAGCGAGCGCAGGUGGUUUAUUAAGUCUGGUGUAAAAGGCAGUGGCUCAACCAUUGUAUGCAUUGGAAACUGGUAGACUUGAGUGCAGGAGAGGAGAGUGGGAUUCCAUGUGUAGCGGUGAAAUGCGUAGAUAUAUGGAGGAACACCGGUGGCGAAAGCGGCUCUCUGGCCUGUAACUGACACUGAGGCUCGAAAGCGUGGGGAGCAAACAGG